RNAcentral lists this transfer RNA (72 nucleotides) under Mustela putorius (European polecat). RNAcentral describes it as "tRNA-Cys". It matches the Rfam family "tRNA". Rfam says of the family: Transfer RNA (tRNA) molecules are approximately 80 nucleotides in length. Lineage: Eukaryota; Metazoa; Chordata; Mammalia; Carnivora; Mustelidae. The record is from RNAcentral.
AAAAAGCUCUGUGGUGAAAUAUCACGUUGAAUUGCAAAUUCAAAGAAGCAGCUUCAACCCUGCCGGGGCUUC